GUUUUUCCUGUUCGCAGAAACAGGUUCGACAAAAGGUAUUCGUUAGCAGGUGUUCGCUGUUCAUUUACUUGUCAAAAUAAACAAAAUAAACUGGCAGGAAUGUGGCGAGAAAUGGAGGGAGCAGUUUAAAAUUACGAAAAGGAAAAAAGAAGAAGGAGGAGAAAUGGAGGGAGAAGAGGGCAGUAAUAGCCCGGAAAAUGAAUCCCCCAGCUGUCAGGUUGAUCUGAAGUCAUCUAUAGACAACUUGAUACAAGAAGUGGCAACGCAGGAAGCAAUUGGAUCAGUUGACCCCAAUGCCCUUGUCACGCAGUUACUUAACUCUGCAUCAAUCCAGUCCAUGCUUCAAAGGGUGUCAGUUGGCCAGUAGAGGCCAUAAGAAUAGAGAAGGUUUACAUAGCAACCUUCCACCUCAGGUUCAAGAAAAAUUGGUGCCUGGACAUCGCUAUAUAUACGUGCACAUUGCUGGUGGACGAGCUUUUGUAGACCUCAGAA
Molecule: long non-coding RNA, 492 nt
Organism: Penaeus monodon (black tiger shrimp)
Lineage: Eukaryota; Metazoa; Arthropoda; Malacostraca; Decapoda; Penaeidae
Exons: 3
Source: RefSeq, a predicted model, not a curated record